CAGUCGCCACGGUAACACGUAGGGUGCGAGCGUUAAUCGGAAUUACUGGGCGUAAAGCGUGCGCAGGCGGUUCGUUAAGACAGAUGUGAAAUCCCCGGGCUUAACCUGGGAACUGCAUUUGUGACUGACGGGCUAGAGUAUGGCAGAGGGGGGUAGAAUUCCACGUGUAGCAGUGAAAUGCGUAGAGAUGUGGAGGAAUACCGAUGGCGAAGGCAGCCCCCUGGGCCAAUACUGACGCUCAUGCACGAAAGCGUGGGGAGCAAACAGGAUUAGAUACCCCCGUAGUCCCUGUCUCUUAUAC
Molecule: ribosomal RNA, 301 nt
Filed under: uncultured bacterium
Lineage: Bacteria
Description: partial 16S ribosomal RNA
Rfam family: Bacterial small subunit ribosomal RNA
Source: RNAcentral